UACAGAGGUCUCAAGCGUUGUUCGGAUUCAUUGGGCGUAAAGGGUGCGUAGGCGGCAGCGCAAGUCAGGUGUGAAAUCCCGGAGCUCAACUCCGGAACUGCACUUGAUACUGCGCUGCUAGAGUACUGGAGAGGAGACUGGAAUUUACGGUGUAGCAGUGAAAUGCGUAGAUAUCGUAAGGAAGACCAGUGGCGAAGGCGAGUCUCUGGACAGUUACUGACGCUGAGGCACGAAGGCCAGGGGAGCAAACGGG
Molecule: ribosomal RNA, 253 nt
Filed under: uncultured bacterium
Lineage: Bacteria
Description: partial 16S ribosomal RNA
Rfam family: Bacterial small subunit ribosomal RNA
Source: RNAcentral